AGCUCCAAUAGCGUAUAUUAAAGUUGUUGCGGUUAAAAAGCUCGUAGUUGGAUCUCGGCGGGCAGGGGGCGGUUCGCUCUUUAGCGCUACUGCCCCCCUUUGCCCGUGUGCUUGGCGGAGGUUUUGGGGGGCUUUUCGUUUGGGGACUCGGAGCGCCGUCAGGUUUACUUUGAAAAAAUUAGAGUGCUCAAAGCAGGCUUUUCACGCUUGAAUAUUCGUGCAUGGAAUAAUGGAAUAGGAACUCGGUUCUAAUUUGUUGGUUUUCGGAAAUCGAGUUAAUGAUUAACAGGGACAAUUGGGGGCAUUAGUAUUCAGACGACAGAGGUGAAAUUCUUGGACCGUCUGAAGACUGACUACUGCGAAAGCAUUUGCCAAGAGUGUUUUCA
This 386-nucleotide ribosomal RNA is filed under the name marine copepod environmental sample. Its description in RNAcentral is "partial small subunit ribosomal RNA". It matches the Rfam family "Eukaryotic small subunit ribosomal RNA", at positions 587 to 972 of the family's 1831-position model. The record is from RNAcentral. Lineage: Eukaryota; Metazoa; Arthropoda; Copepoda.